UACGUAGGGGGCAAGCGUUGUCCGGAUUUAUUGGGCGUAAAGAGCGUGUAGGCGGCCAGGUAGGUCAGCUGUGAAAACUCGAGGCUCAACCUCGGGACGCCGGUUGAAACCAUCUGGCUAGAGUCCGGAAGAGGAGUGUGGAAUUCCCGGUGUAGCGGUGAAAUUCGUAGAGAUCGGGUGGAACACCAGUGGCGAAGGCGCCUAUCUGGCUGACAACUGACGCUGAGACUCGAAAGCAUGGGGAGCAAACAGG
RNAcentral lists this ribosomal RNA (253 nucleotides) under uncultured bacterium. Its description in RNAcentral is "partial 16S ribosomal RNA". It matches the Rfam family "Bacterial small subunit ribosomal RNA", at positions 524 to 776 of the family's 1533-position model. The record is from RNAcentral.